Long non-coding RNA from Oncorhynchus gorbuscha (pink salmon), 1115 nucleotides. RefSeq lists it as uncharacterized. NCBI's taxonomy places the organism in Eukaryota, Metazoa, Chordata, Actinopteri, Salmoniformes, Salmonidae. The record is from RefSeq and is a predicted model, not a curated record. The transcript has 3 exons.
GAGAUAUGGAACCCUCGUGCUUGGCUAUGAAACUUAUGGGAUGCAGCCGUCAUGAUUGCUCAAAAUCCACCAGCGCAAUAUCAGACCGGACAUGGGCCAACUUCCUUUAUUCUUACAGGCGCAAUACAAACAGCGAACUGAGAAAGAUGCUGGGGGCCAGGGCGGAGGAAAGACGCUCGUACACGUCUGGUUUGGCGGCCAGCUCCUUCAGUGUCUGGACGCGCUCCUCAGUGAAAAGCUUCUGGUCUGAAUCCUCAUCCAGCCCGUGAAGGCGCUUCUCGUCCGUCUUACGGAAGUGGAUGACGUCGAUGUGGGUCUUGUACACUGACUUCACGGUGCUCUGGCGAGGGUUUUCCCGCAUAGGAACCGCUCUGUAGAUCCCUGUUGUGGAGAUGAGUUUAGUAAUGACGAUAGUCAUUUUUUGUUUACGAUCCAACGUCACGUUAGUGAUGUACUUGCAUCCUGACAUCAAAAAGCUCUGCAGAAGGAUAGCUAACACUGUUGGGAGUCUCAUAAAUCUUGACAAACUGACUCACCAUCUGUUUGUCGGAGAAGGCAGAGCGGUUAUGGAUGAGGGCCAGGCUGUGGGUGGUGUUGCAGUUGCGGCACACUGCAGGUUCUGCGAUGCGGCCACGGUCCACCUCCACACGGGUAGAGAAGGCACACACCUGGCACUGGAAGAAGGCCUCCUGCAUCUCUGGGAUCAGCUGGGAGGUCCUGAUCACCAUGCCGCUGAUGGUGAUCAUCUGAUCAAUGUCUGGGAGGAGAGCGACAGCGAGGCAAGAUUGUAUUAAAAACGAAUCAUUAAACACCAGACCUGGGUUCAAAUAGAUAUUUAGUCCCAAGUGUGCAAACCAUUUAGCACUCUAGGACGCAUGAUCAAGUGCUUGAAAUUGAAAGAAAACAAAUACAUGAUUCACUCUUCAUAUGAUUGUGUAACAGAUCUGCAUGAGUUGUUCAGGGAAGCUAGACAUCCAUAAUAUGACAUGGCCUAGGCCAGGGGUCUCCAGACAGCUAGAUCUUUUUCCCACAUUGUUACGUUACAGCCUUAAUCUAAAAUUUAUAAAAAAAAAUAUAAAACUAAAAUUAAUCAAAUUUAUAAAAAUAUAAAACUG